This 390-nucleotide ribosomal RNA is filed under the name Laimosemion sp. Maroa. RNAcentral describes it as "partial 12S ribosomal RNA". The stretch from base 47 to 390 matches the Rfam family "Bacterial small subunit ribosomal RNA", at positions 875 to 1384 of the family's 1533-position model. The record is from RNAcentral. Lineage: Eukaryota; Metazoa; Chordata; Actinopteri; Cyprinodontiformes; Rivulidae.
GCAUAGCCAUAAAUUUAAACAGAAAUCACACCCCUUCUGCUCGCCAGAAAACUACAAGCAUAAGCUCAAAACUCAAAGAACUUGGCGGCGCUUUAGACCCACCUAGAGGAGCCUGUCCUAUAACCGAUAAUCCCCGUUAAACCUUACCUUCUUUUGCAUCCAGUCUAUAUACCGCCGUCGUCCAGCUCACCCUUUAAAGGCAGAAUAGUUAGCAAGAUUAGUAAAGCUCAAGACGCCAGGUCAAGGUGUAGCAUAUAAGAAGUCGAAGAGAUGGGCUACAUUUCCUAACUCAGGACUUAACGGAAAGUAUUUUGAAAUAAGUAUAUUGAAGUAGGAUUUAGCAGUAAGUAAGAAAUAGAGAGUUUUACUGAAGCUGGCCCUGAAGCGCGC